This is a non-coding RNA of Rattus norvegicus (Norway rat), 69 nucleotides long. NCBI's taxonomy places the organism in Eukaryota, Metazoa, Chordata, Mammalia, Rodentia, Muridae. The record is from Rfam.
GGGGAUUUAGCUCAGUGGUAGAGCGCUUACCUAGAAAGUGCAAGGCCCUGGGUUCGGUCCCCAGCUCCG